CUUGUUUUUCUGUUUUAUACACUCUUGACAUAUUAAUUGUAUUUUAUUUUAUAUACUUUCUUAACAUUUAUAUAAUUACUGUACUAGAUCUGAAUCAAUAAGACAAUAAGUAAUAUUUUUACAGGCAAAGAUACAAUCAAAUGUAGAUGUAUUACUUCUUCAUAUACAAAUAACCACUGGGUUAAACCCCAAUGGCCAGGAGUGUUUCACCAAACCUGCUAUGCAGGACCCCGGGGGAGUUUACUCCAAGGUCUCGAGUUCGAGUCUGUUCCCCUCAAUUAAGGAGGUGGUAUGCUGAGAAAGGAUAUUUAAGAUCCGCUUAGUGUGGGACCCUUUCGUUGUGCGAUUAACACACAUCAUUCGUGUCUGAGAGUAUUGCAUCAAGUAAUCUUUAACAUACGAAGUUAUUUUGCCAGAUCCAUCCUGAUCCAACUUCAAAAACUUCAAACUCCGGAAUGGUGAACAUCGCAUCAUCGAUUCUGCUGGAAACGAGGACAAAAACCAAACAAAUGACUCGGAAAUCGUAAGAGAUUUGGCGUUAUGAAAAGUCUGAAACAUUGAUAUUAUAUUUUGAAUACUUAGCUUCACGGGUCCAAAAAAAAAUCCUUGAUAAUCAAAGACAACCUCGUCAAGAACAGGAAGAGCUUGAGGCGUUACGAACACUGGGAAAGUACUAAUAGUCCGAAACUUGAAGAUUCUGAGUUUUGGAGUCGAAAGCUCACAACGAUUAAGCCUACAAGUACGACCAUAGAAGCACUUGAUGGUUAAUGCCGAAAGUUGUGAAGUAAGGACGUUCAAAUUAUUUUCUUUAUAACAACAAUGGUACAAAGUUAACUUCUCCAAUGCCGGGAACCCUGAGAAUGAAUCAGGAUCGGUAAUAAUUGCCUCUCGUAAAUAUAGAUUAGUCAGAUUCUUGAACAGCCCAGCCGAUUUUUGUCCCAAAAACCGACAUAUGAUUUUUGUAAUGCUUAUUAGUUUCAAUCGUGUUAAAGAAUCCGAGCUAGUAUUAUGCAAGCAAUCUGACCAAGAUCCGUUUUCCUCACCCCUGAUCGAUGCUUUCACUUCUUUGACACCAUGCGAAAAUGCAUAACCAAAUACUGUUUUCCAAA
Molecule: long non-coding RNA, 1109 nt
Organism: Erigeron canadensis
Lineage: Eukaryota; Viridiplantae; Streptophyta; Magnoliopsida; Asterales; Asteraceae
Exons: 2
Source: RefSeq, a predicted model, not a curated record